AUUGAACGCUGGCGGCAGGCCUAACACAUGCAAGUCGAGCGAGCGGCGGACGGGUGAGUAAUGUAUGGGGACUGCCCGAUAUAGGCGGCUAACUACUGGAAACGGUGGCUAAUACCGCAUAAUACCGGUUAACCCAUUGGGGAUUAGCUAGGAGGUGGGGUAAAGGUUCACCUUGGCGACGAUCUCUAGCUGGCCUGAGAGGAUGAUCAGCCACACUGGGACGUAGACACGGCCCAGACUCCUACGGAGGCAGCAGUGGGGAAUAUUGGACAAUGGGCGCAAGCCUGAUGCAGCCACGCCGCGUGUAUGAAGAAGGCCUUAGGGUUGUAAAGUACUUUCAGCGGGGAGGCGUUACCCGCAGAAAAAGCCACGGCUAACUCCGUGCCAGCCGCCGCGGUAAUAC
Molecule: ribosomal RNA, 403 nt
Filed under: uncultured bacterium
Lineage: Bacteria
Description: partial 16S ribosomal RNA
Rfam family: Bacterial small subunit ribosomal RNA
Source: RNAcentral